Molecule: long non-coding RNA, 135 nt
Organism: Ochotona curzoniae (black-lipped pika)
Lineage: Eukaryota; Metazoa; Chordata; Mammalia; Lagomorpha; Ochotonidae
Exons: 2
Source: RefSeq, a predicted model, not a curated record
UGAGGACUUUAGCCACUAGACUAUCAUGCCGGACCCAAAAAUUCUAGGUUUUAAAAAAGCUUCUGAUGAUGUUGAUCCACUGCCUUUUAGCAUGUGUUGUUUCAAGUAGAAAUCUGCAGCUAUCCUUACAUACUU